This 180-nucleotide unclassified non-coding RNA is filed under the name uncultured Cortinarius. RNAcentral's name for it is "sequence contains ITS2". Lineage: Eukaryota; Fungi; Basidiomycota; Agaricomycetes; Agaricales; Cortinariaceae. The record is from RNAcentral.
AUAUAUAUCAACCCUCUUUGCUGAGUGGCUUGGAUGUGGGGGUUUGCUGGCUUGAGGCCAGCUCUCCUGAAAUGCAUUAGCAGAACAACCUGUUCAUUCAUUGGUGUGAUAGAUAUCUACGCUAUUGAAUGCAAGGUGGAUCAGCUUCUUAACGGUCUCCUUGGGACAGUUUAUCAUCUU